RNAcentral lists this long non-coding RNA (237 nucleotides) under Ananas comosus (pineapple). Its description in RNAcentral is "long non-coding RNA (ACOM_LNC040630)". The record is from RNAcentral. Lineage: Eukaryota; Viridiplantae; Streptophyta; Magnoliopsida; Poales; Bromeliaceae.
ACACUCGUCCUUUGUACCAGUUUCCACAUUUAACUUCAAUAUAUAAAAGGCAUUCGGCUCUUUCAACCGAUCAAUCACUGUGCAUCCCAUCCACUUCGGCUCAUUCAGCCGAAUCCUUUCUACAGUAGGGUUUCUCGAACUCGGCUGAUCCGAUCCUUCAUCAGCUGAAUCGCUUAAUCUUUCGAAGGGCGCAAAUUUCGAGGGUCACCUCGCGAGGCCGGAUUUAAUUCCCGCACG